This 450-nucleotide ribosomal RNA is filed under the name uncultured Rhodocyclaceae bacterium. RNAcentral describes it as "bacterial SSU rRNA". It matches the Rfam family "Bacterial small subunit ribosomal RNA", at positions 30 to 476 of the family's 1533-position model. The record is from RNAcentral. Lineage: Bacteria; Pseudomonadati; Pseudomonadota; Betaproteobacteria; Rhodocyclales; Rhodocyclaceae.
AUUGAACGCUGGCGGCAUGCUUUACACAUGCAAGUCGAACGCGGUUGAGGGGUAACUCUUGACUGAGUGGCGAACGGGUGAGUAAUACAUCGGAACGUACCUCGUUGUGGGGGAUAACCCACCGAAAGGUGGGCUAAUACCGCAUACGCCCUGAGGGGGAAAGCGGGGGACCUGAGAGGGCCUCGCGCGAUGGGAGCGGCCGAUGUCGGAUUAGCUAGUUGGUGGGGUAAAGGCCUACCAAGGCGACGAUCCGUAGCUGGUCUGAGAGGAUAAUCAGCCACACUGGGACUGAGACACGGCCCAGACUCCUACGGGAGGCAGCAGUGGGGAAUUUUGGACAAUGGGGGCAACCCUGAUCCAGCCAUGCCGCGUGAGUGAAGAAGGCCUUCGGGUUGUAAAGCUCUCUCGGCCGGAACGAAAUCGCAUGGGUGAAUAUCCUGUGUGGAUGAC